AGUGAACGCUGGCGGUAGGCCUAACACAUGCAAGUCGAACGGCAGCACAGUAAGAGCUUGCUCUUAUGGGUGGCGAGUGGCGGACGGGUGAGGAAUACAUCGGAAUCUACUUUUUCGUGGGGGAUAACGUAGGGAAACUUACGCUAAUACCGCAUACGACCUACGGGUGAAAGCAGGGGAUCUUCGGACCUUGCGCGAUUGAAUGAGCCGAUGUCGGAUUAGCUAGUUGGCGGGGUAAAGGCCCACCAAGGCGACGAUCCGUAGCCGGUCUGAGAGGAUGAUCAGCCACACUGGAACUGAGACACGGUCCAGACUCCUACGGGAGGCAGCAGUGGGGAAUAUUGGACAAUGGGCGCAAGCCUGAUCCAGCCAUACCGCGUGGGUGAAGAAGGCCUUCGGGUUGUAAAGCCCUUUUGUUGGGAAAGAAAAGCAGCAGGUUAAUACCCCGCUGUUCUGACGGUACCCAAAGAAUAAGCACCGGCUAACUUCGUG
This 492-nucleotide ribosomal RNA is filed under the name uncultured bacterium. RNAcentral describes it as "partial 16S ribosomal RNA". It matches the Rfam family "Bacterial small subunit ribosomal RNA", at positions 29 to 507 of the family's 1533-position model. The record is from RNAcentral.